Molecule: long non-coding RNA, 4989 nt
Organism: Dromaius novaehollandiae (emu)
Lineage: Eukaryota; Metazoa; Chordata; Aves; Casuariiformes; Dromaiidae
Exons: 9
Source: RefSeq, a predicted model, not a curated record
CGCCCCUCGCCCCGCCCCGCGGUGCGUCCGCCAAGAGCGGAGCGGGGCGCGGUGUACGCCGGUUGCGGUUUGUCGGGCCUCGCUGCCUCUGGUGCAGCGGCGCCCGGUUACCCCUUCCCGUGCGAGUGGCCGGGCCGGGGUCCGCGGGGGUGCGCGCCGGCCCUCCGGCAUCCCUCCCUCCCCCCGGUGCCUCGCGGUUCCAGCGCCGCUGGCGGGCCCCGUCCUCGCGGGUCGCUCCUCAGGCGCCCAACGGCCUCUAACGGCCGCGGCGCGCGCCCCAACGGCCGGCCGCGAGGCGGUACGGACUCGCCAGGGGGCGCCAAAGCGCUGCGGCCGCCGCAGGAUAAACCGCCUCUGCUCUGUGCUAGGUUUGUUAUUCCUUUGUCAAAUUGCUGCAACAGGAGAACUGAACUGAAGGCAUCAGACAUCCACCUCUUGGCCAUAAGCUGAUGCAGAAUCAAGCCUGGAAGGCCCUAAAGGAACUGCCGAUGUUUGAAGUUUGUGGCUGACUUACCUUGCUCUUUGCUGCCAUAGAGAGGCCACAGCUUGCUGAAGGCUGAUCUGGGCAUCUCUACACAACGCAGCUGCCGAAAUUGGACAGCAACUUUAAGCCAUUCAGGAGACAACCUGCAAAAACCUUGGAGGAAGGAGAUGUAAGCUGGCCUGAGGUCUGAUCCUGCUCUACUGUGAUUUUACUGAACUUUGAUUUGCCAUCUUAUAUAUAUAAGCCUGACCCCUGAAGAUGCUGAAUCCUCAUCAGAACAGACUCUCCAACCAAGAGCAUGAACAAGGAGUGAUCAACAGAUUAUGAAACACAUACUUUUGCUGAUACAUUACUUGACACUCUGCCAAAGAAAACUGGUAAAAGGAAACAUAACAGAAAAUGAGUUUUGAGAAUCAGGAGGCUGUAUAUCUGUGAAGAGAAGCAAGACAGAGAAGAAAUAUCAGGAAGCAAGGCAGGAAAUCCAAUAGCUCACAAAAGGAGUGAAGGAAAUGCAGGGUUUUGAGCUAGGUACUGCCAUUAAGAAGUCUGAGCAGCAAUUACUCUCCAGCAUUGCUUUAUGCUUGUGAUAUAAAUUAGAAGGUCCUGGAGCAGACUGCAUGUCAUCCGUCUGGAAGAAUAACUGCAUCAAAUGCAGAACUUGGGCACUUUUCUUCCCAGUUAGUCACCUGCAGAGGCACAGUGAGGAGACAUCAUGUCAUCCCAACACAAAUAAUCCUGAACAUCUGUCCCAGUUGGAGAAAAUGCCAAUGAAGCUUAGUUGGCUCUGAUCCACAGUACCACACAAAUGAAUGGCUGGAAGAGUGGCAAAAAAUGGACUUCCCAGGAGCCAAAAUGAACGGGGCAGCUCUAACAAAGCCUCGGGAACCUACCCCCACCAGGCAUCCCAAACUACUAACAAGGACUUCCAAAGCUAAGUUGGCAGUGGCCCAUUUUGCAGAUGUUCAGCUGGAUUUCAUCUUGCAUAUCUUGAUCAAUGAAAGAAGAUAAAUGACUGUCUCAAAUGCUGUAGAGUUUGCUGCAGAACUUGAAUCUUGGAGUAGUGCACAUGAGAAGGAAGCAAGUGCUAUAUAAACUGUUGGCCGGAAACCCUCAAUGUACAGUUCUCUGCCUGGUGCCCUUGAAGGAAAAUGACAUUUGAGCCCAGUUCAAGUAUUUUAUGCAUGAUUGGGAAAGUGAAACAACAUUUGUAAAGUGUACAAUGCAAAACUUGAUGGAAAGAGUUCAUUGCAAAGUUGAAAAUGGCACCAAAAGAAAUACUUUUACAAUGCAGUAGAGAUGAGGAAGAUGAAGAAAGAGUGAAAAUGUCUACAGUGUGGACAUUGGGUACUCAAUACCAGGAGUUUUGCUAUGCAGAUCUGUUGCUCUGGGUCUGCACUACUUGCUAAUGCAGACGUCACCACAAGAUUCUGAUAGGGGCACUGAAAUGGCCUUCAAAUCCCAAAACAACUGAAAAUUUACCUGGUGUAUAACCAAAAGGCUGCAGCAGAUUAACUCAAAUCUACAGAGUCUUGCAAGGCAUCUUACAAGGUUCUGGUCCAAAUAAAUAAAAUGAUUUAUAGGAUAUAACUGGGAUAAUUAUCAGCAAUAGGUUUUCAGCAUGUCUGUAUCUGGGGACUGUGGAAUUCAUGAUUGCUAAAAGAAUAUUAAGUAAUGAAUGUCUUUAAUGAAAAAUAUUUCAACAGAAACAGUAAUAUUUCUCAGAAGUUUAAAAAAAAAAAAAAGACAAAUCCCAAAGCCAUCUCUUUUGAAUUGCUGCAAUGAGACUGAGCAAAGAAAAAAUCUAAGAAUGUUAAUAAAAAUGUUUUAGGUUGGUAUGAAAAUCAUCACUUACCUACAGUAGUUAAAAUGCCACUGCCUGAAUGAGUUAAUUAUUUUUACUUUUGUCCUCUUCCUCUCCCUUUUUGAGUGUCAUUACUUUAAACUUUGUUGGGGCGAAAAGUGAAACUGAGAUAAGGAUAUAGUCUGUGUAUUAAACUAAACUUCAUUGAAAUUCCCUACGGAAAGGUGGUUAAAACAAUACUCCUACAGCAAGCACAUGACACAGCUCAAAACAAAAGCAUGUGUAAGCAGUUGUUCUUUGUCAUUAAUGUUGUUCCUAUGCUGCCUAUAGCAUGGGAACAGUUUUAUUCACUGUUGUAUCAUGGUAGUAGUUUGAGCCUCUGUAAAAGAGGUAGAAGGACAGAAGAAUGAGCAGAAAACUUGAGAAAAACAGACAGAAAAGCAAAGGAUACAGUCAGCGCACAUACUUGUCCCUGAGAAAAGCAAAGAGUGAAGUCUAAAUGCUGACAGAAAAGGGACUUGGAGCUGGAGUGAAGGUGCUGUCUUUGUGUCUUGGAGAGCAGGAGUCUGUCUACUCUCUUUGGACAGGCAGGAUUGUGUCAAAAAAUACCUGACACCCUCACUAGUUUUUUCUCCUGACAAAAAAGCUCUAUGACAACAGUUUGGGAUGGGGAGAGAAGCUGAGAAUGGACCCUAUCUUUCCAACCAGUUGGGGUGAAGAAUGUCUGAAAGUGGCCAAAAAGAAAAAUGUCCUGCUCAGGUGCUAGAAAUGAGACAUGAGGAAAAAGGCGCUCACGGUCUUCAGCCCCAGGGUCUCUAUCCUGCCAGGCAGUCGUGGCGACACUUUCCUUCCCUGGUGUUUUGCUCCUGAGGCUUGUGAGCUGUGCAGGCUGCCCACCCUCCCUCUUUCUCCUGCCUAGUCAACUUGUUUAGCUCCCAGCAGUGCCUUGGAGGGGAAAUGUAGGGUUGCGAUAGGGUAGCUUGGUAUAAUCAACCGUAUGCCCCCUAAAGACUUUACCAUCCCUGAAAACUAAUAGACAAAAUCUACCUCUCUUCACUGAGAGAACCUGCCUGCAACAGACGCCUUGAAUGCUGCAGGAGUUUGGACCUUGCAUGGCGCACAGGACAGUAAGCAAAACGGAAAACCUGAAAUCUUUUGUUUCUUUUUCAGUCUCUAUGUUUGGUCUUUCAUAGCCUAUUCCGUCGCUCAUGACACAGAGGACAUGAUACUGUCAGAUUGCUUCUGUUCAGUUCCCAUUAGCAUUUUCAGUUAUUUUUUAAAAGCAAGCAAAUUCAGGAGCAGAGUUCAUAAUUUCCUGUAUCCUUCUUUUAACCUAGGUCUAUUCUGCACGCUACAUGACAUUAUUUAAUGUGCAUCAUUUCAGUAUCCUUUUAUAUGGUUUUGAUUUAAUGGAAAGCAGAGCUCAAAGAAUGUUGACUGUCUUUCUUAUUCAAACAUUGCUUCCUUCUUUAAUAGAAUAUUACAAAAAGGAUAUAAAGGUGGAAGUAGUGGAGCAUACUUUUUGGUAGGAAAAUGCCUUUAUGUUCUCACCUUUGUGUGUGUGUGAGCAGCACUAAACCUAUUAUUACUGGGCUUACUGAACUCAUUUUAUGGACUCUUUUUACUUCUCUUUCUCACAGAAUUCUCCUCUUAAUGAUGAAGACUUUCAUUAAUUGUUUUUAAAUGACCAUACUGUUAUUCAGUAGAUAGCCCAUAAGAAGUCCUUCGUAUCAAGAUGGCUUUGAAUGGAGUUUGCACCUAACUGUGUUUCUAUGUAAUGUACUAUUUAACUUCACAGAUCUUUGGUUAAAUUUAGGUAAAAUGUUUAUUUCAGUGCAGUCUCUCUUUUCUCCAGCUGUGCUGUAUCUUCACCUAACUCUAGGAAGUGAAGAGUGCAAGGCCAAAUCCCACUGAGAUUAUUGUUUUUGCUUGUCAAGCAUUUCUAUAUUUUUGUAUUGCUGUAUCAUCUUUCUGGAUGUAAAGAGAAAUUUUUAAAAUUUAAUGCUUAGCUCAAAAUUAACUUGCAAUGUGGACUCCCCUCAACUUUGCAAAAGUUCAUUUUCAGGUUCAGAUUAGAAAAAUAUAUAGCAGCAUAUUUUUUAUGUUGAUUGAAUCAGAACUCGGGAUCAUUGAUCCCAGUCUGGAUUUGCCGUUUUCAUUUUAGAACUACUUUAUCAAAAUAACAAACAAUUAAAAAGAAAAAUAAAAUUAACAUAGCAGCCACCUUAAAUCGGUGAAUCACUACAGGUUUUGUAUGGCCAACAUGGCUGAGCUUUUUUCCCAAGUAGUUAAAAUAUAUUUCUACAGAAACUCUUAGUUCCAGGAUAAAACUUAGCUAAAGAAAAGCAUCUGAUAAAGAUUCCUAUCUCCAGUGCUGAACUUUCAUAUAUCACAAGUUCAAUCAACACCACAAACUCAGCUUUCACAACAUAUUCUGGGUCCUAUUCUAGAAGAGGAUUCAUAAACUGGUAAACAGAUUUACAUGACUAGACCUGGCUCUACCAAGAUUCAUUUAACUUAAUGACAAGAUCAGGUGUCUUGGCUUUUUAAUUAAGCAAAUUCGAGAAUACUCUAGUAAUGUGUAGGUCAACUGAAAUGUUCAAAGUAACUUACAAUUUCUGGUUACCUGAAUGUGAUGGGAGAAAGUAUAACUGAUACUGACUGAUCAUAAAAUAAAAAUAAAUGUAUGCAAGUUACAAAAUAA